RNAcentral lists this ribosomal RNA (936 nucleotides) under uncultured bacterium. Its description in RNAcentral is "bacterial SSU rRNA". It matches the Rfam family "Bacterial small subunit ribosomal RNA", at positions 8 to 967 of the family's 1533-position model. The record is from RNAcentral.
AGAGUUUGAUCCUGGCUCAGGAUGAACGCUAAGGCCUAACACAUGCAAGUCGAGGGGUAUGGUGCUACGCAUGCAAGUCGAAGGGUUUAGACCCUUGGCAAACGGGCUAGUAACACGUGGGAAUCUGCCUCAAAGUCGUGAAUAAUCAUUCGAAAGGAUGGAUAAUACACGAUGUACUCUCCGGAGUAAAGAUUUAUCGCUUUGAGAGGAGCCCGCGUCCUAUCAGCUUGUUGGUGGUGUAAAGGACCACCAAGGCUAUGACGGGUAGGGGGUGUGAGAGCAUGGCCCCCAGCAUUGGCACUGAGACACUGGCCAAACACCUACGGGUGGCUGCAGUCGAGAAUAUUCCACAAUGGACGAAAGUCUGAUGGAGCGACACCGCGUGCGAGAUGAAGGCCUUAGGGUCGUAAAUCGCUUUUAUUAGGGAUCAAUGUACUGAGCGUACCUAAUGAAUAAGAGGUUACUAACUCUGUGCCAGCAGUAGCGGUAAUACAGAGACCUCAAGCGUUAUCCGGAUUUAUUGGGCGUAAAGCGUAUGUAGGCGGGUGUGUUAGUCGUGUGUUAAAUCUUCGAGCUCAACUCGAAAUCCGCUCACGAAACGGCACAUCUAGAGAAAGUGAGAGAUUACUGGAACUCAUGGUGUAGUAGUAAAAUGCUUUGAUAUCAUGGGGAACACCGAAGGCGAAGGCAGGUAAUUGGCACUCUUCUGACGCUGAGAUACGAAAGCGUGGGUAGCGAAUGGGAUUAGAUACCCCAGUAGUCCACGCCGUAAACGUUGCAUACUCGGCAUAUGGGAGUAUCGACCCUCUGCGUGUCUUAGCUAACGCGUUAAGUAUGCCGCCUGGGAAGUACGAGCGCAAGCUUAAAACUCAAAGGAAUUGACGGGGAUCCGCACAAGUGGUGGAGCAUGUGGUUUAAUUCGACGAUAAGCGAGAA